UGCUCCGACUCCUCGCAUGGGGUGUCGGGAAAGAUUUCAUCGGUAUGGGAUGGGGUCGCGUCCUAUCAGGUAGUCGGCGGGGUAACGGCCCACCGAGCCUACGACGGGUAGCCGGCCUGAGAGGGCGACCGGCCACAUUGGGACUGAGAUACGGCCCAGACUCCUACGGGAGGCAGCAGUGGGGAAUAUUGCACAAUGGGCGCAAGCCUGAUGCAGCGACGCCGCGUGCGGGAUGACGGCCUUCGGGUUGUAAACCGCUUUUGAUCGGGAGCAAGCCUUCGGGUGAGUGUACCUUUCGAAUAAGCACCGGGCUAACUACGUGCCAGCAGCCGCGGUAAUACGUAGGGUGCAAGCGUUAUCCGGAAUUAUUGGGCGUAAAGGGCUCGUAGGCGGUUCGUCGCGUCCGGUGUGAAAGUCCAUCGCUUAACGGUGGAUCUGCGCCGGGUACGGGCGGGCUGGAGUGCGGUAGGGGAGACUGGAAUUCCCGGUGUAACGG
RNAcentral lists this ribosomal RNA (496 nucleotides) under uncultured Bifidobacterium sp. RNAcentral describes it as "bacterial SSU rRNA". It matches the Rfam family "Bacterial small subunit ribosomal RNA", at positions 173 to 681 of the family's 1533-position model. The record is from RNAcentral. Lineage: Bacteria; Bacillati; Actinomycetota; Actinomycetes; Bifidobacteriales; Bifidobacteriaceae.